UUCUUUCUUCUACUUUCUCUUUUUCUCCUUUUUUUCCUUUUCUGUUCCCAUAUUCCUCCUUACGUCUCUAUCUCUCUCUCUCUCUUAUCUUUAGACUAUUAUAUUUUCUAUUUUCUCUCUCUCCUUUCUUUCUUCUUAUUCAGUGUUUUAAUAUAGUUUCUUCCUCUCCUUUCCUUCCCUUUCCCUUAAUUCCUUUCCUUACCUCGAUCUCUCUCCCUCGAUCACCCUUUUAAUUCUUCCCUUUUCUCAAUAUCUCCCUUUUUCCCUCUUCUCUCUUCCCUUUUCGUAUCUUCUUUAUCUUAUCUCUCCCUUCCUUUUUUCCUUCACUCCUCCUGAUCUAUAGUCUGGACAAUAUAUAGGAUCUGUGUAGCCUGGAUAUCUAUGUAAAUCUAUGUAAAUCUCACUCUCCUUUCCUUCUCUCUCCCUCUUCCUCUAUUUCCCCGCUACAGACUCAAGGGGCAAGGUGACAGAGGUGAGCACAGGGGCCUCGCGCACCUUGCAGUAUGCCCCGCUGCCAGACGUAUGACGAACGUACGAGUGAUAGGUAGAUAUAGAUAGAUAGAUAAAUACAUAUGGCACAUCAGAAGGGAUAGAUAGAUAGAUAGAUAGAUAGAUAACUCCAUAUAGAUAAAUAGUCAAGAAAGAUCAAACUGUUCCUCUUGGAUUCUCUCUUUUCAUGAAUGUUAUACCGGUAAAUUAUGUAAAGCAAUUAUGAGGUUAAUUUUCUCCUUCAUAUAUAUUACAAUUCCCACUGCCUUCUAAUUUUUCAGGACUAUUUUGAUCCCUCACACUCAAAGCUCCCAUAUCUUUUCUUUUCUUGUUGUUUUGGGGGUUUUUCAAUAACUUUCCCUGGUUUAUAUACUGAGCGAGUCUUUUUACCAACUAUCUCUGGAGACAACCAUACAAAAUCCCCCUAUAAUUUCCCAAGCAGCUCAGUAAUAAUGAAUAAUAGCUGCUAGUCGGUAAAUAGCCACUCUCUUAUCCUUAACCCCUUGACUGCAGAUUUCCUACAAGAAGACCUCACCAAGCUGCAGGAAUGGAACAAAAAGUGGCUGCUACAAUUCAAUGAAGAAAAAUGUAAAGUCCUGCACCUUGGGAGGGGAUAUCCAGCAUACCAAUACCACAUGGGAAACACUCCACUAUCCACCACAGAGGGGAUAUCCAGCAUGCCAAUACCACAUGGGAAACACUCCACUAUCCACCACAGAGGCAGAGAAAGACCUGGGAUGAUAGGUUACCAGGCUACCAGUGAAGGCCAAAUCUGUGCCAAUCGCAGCAGACGGGUCAACACCAAACAGAGGGAAAUAACCACUUACUACAAAAUGGGCAGUGUAUUGUAUAAAAGGCCAUCAUAUACAUUAAUAGAGACAGAGAGAGAGAAUGAAGUGGGUAACAUAUGGUCAUAUCAGUCUGGUCAGUAUUCUCAGAUGCUUCCACCCCUCACAAGAACUAUUUCCAAAGGCCAAAAAAGAGAUCAAUCGGGUUCUAAUGCGUGUUUUCUUAGGUUCGUGGUACAGAAGAAGGGUCAAACUACCAUCAGGGUCUUUAAACUACUCCUGGAAGUGCCCACAACUCCUACGUAAGCCUUGUCAAAUAUGUGAUUCUUUAGGUUCAUGGUACAGAAGAAGGGUCAAACUACCAUCAGGGUCUUUAAACUACCCCUGGAAAUGCCCAGAACUCCUACGAAAGCCUUGUCAAAUAUGUGUUUCUUUAGGUUCAUGGUACAGAAGAAGGGUCAAACUACCACCAAGGUCUUUAAACUACCCCUGGAAAUGCCCAAAACUCCUACAAAAGCCUUGUCAAAUGGGUGUGCUUGGGCUCUGAAAUGUGUAAGAAUAUGACCCUGAGACCCAAACAUAAUCUCAAACAUUUUUGGGCUCACACAUCCACAGCAGAUAAAGCUUUUGGGGAGGUUGUGUGUGUGUAUUUCCAGGGUUAGUCUUAUGAGCCAAGGCAUGAAAUAUAUAUAGUAUGACAUGGCUUCUGGACUAUAAAUGUGGAAAAACACUCAUGAAAACCCAUCUUAUUUCCUUUGAGGCCCUCAGAAAUGUUUGUUAUGAGAUGAGUGUCUGGGAAUAUGGGACUGAGAACAACGUACAUUAUGUAGAAUCCAAGCUACUCAAGAUCCAUUCUAGAUGAUCUGGAUUUCCACAAGGCAACAAG
Long non-coding RNA from Eriocheir sinensis (Chinese mitten crab), 2163 nucleotides. RefSeq lists it as uncharacterized. The record is from RefSeq and is a predicted model, not a curated record. The transcript has 2 exons. Lineage: Eukaryota; Metazoa; Arthropoda; Malacostraca; Decapoda; Varunidae.